RNAcentral lists this ribosomal RNA (323 nucleotides) under uncultured eukaryote. RNAcentral describes it as "partial 18S ribosomal RNA". It matches the Rfam family "Eukaryotic small subunit ribosomal RNA", at positions 1470 to 1796 of the family's 1831-position model. The record is from RNAcentral.
CCCUUAGAUGUCCUGGGCUGCACGCGCGCUACACUGACACAUUCAGCGAGUGUUCCUUGUCCGGUGGGAUUGGGUACUCUUCUUAACGUGUGUCGUGAUGGGGAUAGAUUAUUGCAAUUAUUAAUCUUCAACGAGGAAUUCCUAGUAAGUGCAAGUCAUCAGCUUGCGCUGAUUACGUCCCUGCCCUUUGUACACACCGCCCGUCGCUCCUACCGAUUGAAUGUUCCGGUGAAUAAUUCGGACUGCGGUUGCGGGGUCUGUACCACUGCAAUUGCGGGAAGUUUAGUGGACCUUAACAUUUAGAGGAAGGAGAANUCGUAACA